CCCUAGUGGCCCAAAUGGUAAAGGAUCUGCCUACAAUGCAGGAGACUCAGUUUCAAUUGCUGGAUUGGGAA
This 71-nucleotide transfer RNA is filed under the name Bos taurus (domestic cattle). It matches the Rfam family "tRNA". From Rfam's summary of the family: Transfer RNA (tRNA) molecules are approximately 80 nucleotides in length. Their secondary structure includes four short double-helical elements and three loops (D, anti-codon, and T loops). Further hydrogen bonds mediate the characteristic L-shaped molecular structure. tRNAs have two regions of fundamental functional importance: the anti-codon, which is responsible for specific mRNA codon recognition, and the 3' end, to which the tRNAs corresponding amino acid is attached (by aminoacyl-tRNA synthetases). tRNAs cope with the degeneracy of the genetic code in two manners: having more than one tRNA (with a specific anti-codon) for a particular amino acid; and 'wobble' base-pairing, i.e. permitting non-standard base-pairing at the 3rd anti-codon position. The record is from Rfam by way of RNAcentral. RNAcentral also lists the same sequence under 5 other names. Lineage: Eukaryota; Metazoa; Chordata; Mammalia; Artiodactyla; Bovidae.